ACAAGGAGUUUCAUUACACCCUCCAGCUUCUGGAGGCCCAUUUUUCCUCUUCUCUGACCAGAAUGCUGGGCUUCUCUGUGGGAGUGUGUGCUGCCUGUAUCAGAUGUGCGGUUUCCUGAUUUAAAGUAUCCUGGGUCUAAGCAAGAAGAUACAGGAAAAAAAUUUACCAGGAAACUCACCUGGUAGUGAGUUUUCACUCACCUGCUUUGUGGGUUAUUCUUCAGAUUUUGACUUUUCACUCCAAUCUGAUUUUAUUUACUUUACCAUGUUCUCUUAAGUAGUUGCUUUUUUAAAAAUUUGUCCAGAGUUUUUAGUUGUAACCAGUGGGAGAGAUGGGCUGUAGGAGGCUUAUUUUAGCUUAGCCUUCAUUCUCCCUCUUUAUUUUAAGGUGCUUUUUUCCCCCUUCCUUUUGAGGUAAUUUUAGACUUACAGAAGUUGCAAAAAUAGUACAGAGUUCCCGUAUGUCCUUCUCCCAGCUUUCCCUUUUGUCAGCAUCUUACAUAAUGAUAGAACCCUUAUCAGAACUAAGAAAUUAACCUCGGUUCAUUACUAUUAUAACAACAGAAGUCAUUUAGGUUUCAUCCGUUUGCCUGUUAAUGUCCUUUUUCUUUCCUGGAAUUCAGUGCAGGAAGAAUCCCAUUCAGUUGUCGUGUCUCCUUAGUGCCCUCUGUGAUCUGUGACAGUUCCUCCUCCCUUCCAACUCUUUUAUGGUCUUAACACAUCUGAAGAGUACUAGCCAGCUCUUUUAUAGAAUGUCCAUCAGCGUGGGCUUGUCUGAGGUUUUCUCAUGAUCAUAUUGAGGUUAUGCAUUUUGGGGGGGAAACACCAGAGAGCUGAUGUAUGCUUUCCUCUGUGCGCUGCCCUCCCCCAGGACUUCGUGAGGUUGAUAUGUUUACCUGGUAAUGUCACCUUGACCACUGUCUAGAGUAGUAUCUGUUGGAUUGAUACUAAAAUUAAUAUUUUACUCUUUGUAAUUGUUAAAUACAUUAAGGGAGAUACUCUGAAACUGUGAAAAUAUCCCAUUUCUGCUUAAAGUUUGACCCAUUAAAUUUAGCGUCCUUCAGUGGAUCAUUAGGACUUCCCUGGUGGCUCAGAUGGUAAAGAAUCUGCUUACCUUUACAGUCAGUACUUUAAGAAAUUAUAGUCAUGAUGAUGACGGUGAUGAAUUGGAUCCCAGAAGAGUACUUGCCAGUCAUGUACCUGGAACCCAUUUUUCCUCUUGGAAUCUCAGCUUUCUUCUUCAUAAAGUGAGAUGAUUAUGAAUCUGACCUCACUGGAUUGUGGAGGUGUUGAAAUGAGAUCCUGGCAGCAAAACAGCCAGCUGAGAUUCUGUGGAUCAGGAAUUAAGCCAGGACUUGGCUGGGCAACUGGGCAAUUCUUCUGCUCCCUGUGGCAUCAUCAGUGGUCACUCAGUGGGACUCAGCUGAAUGACAGAUUAGUCCAGAGGAUCCAAGACAGCUUCACACAGACCUGAAUGACUGGAUGGCUGAGCUCAGCUAGAAGUGUCUUCAGGAGUACCUGCGCAUGGCCUUGCCAGCUGGCCAGUCUCAUGGCAGGCUUACCUGGCGGCUGCUCCCUCCAGAGUGAGCACUCCAGGAGACCCAGACAGAAGCUGGCCUUUCGUGAUACAGCCACUGAAGUCAUGUAGCAUUACUUCCUAUAAAAUGUUGGUCGAAACAGCCGCAGAAUCCCAUCUGGAGUCACAGGGAGGAGACAAAGACCCACCUUUUGAUGGAAGGAAUAACAGUGACCAUUAAAAAAAAAAAAAUGCCACAAGGAUAAGUUGUUCUCAGUGCAACAAGUCCAGAGAGGUUCAGGAACUUUCCCCAAGGACAGUUACGGAUAUGAACGGUGCUAGGAAGGAAACAAAAAACAGAGUGAAAGGCAGAGAAUGAAAGGAGAUGGUGGGAAACCAGCACCUGCUGUAUAGCAGAGGGAACUAUAUUCAGUAUCCUGUGAUAAACCAUAUGGAAAAGGAUAUUAAAAAAUGAAUGUAUA
Bubalus bubalis (water buffalo) is the source of this 1998-nucleotide long non-coding RNA. RefSeq lists it as uncharacterized. The transcript has 2 exons. The record is from RefSeq and is a predicted model, not a curated record. NCBI's taxonomy places the organism in Eukaryota, Metazoa, Chordata, Mammalia, Artiodactyla, Bovidae.